Molecule: long non-coding RNA, 590 nt
Organism: Passer domesticus (house sparrow)
Lineage: Eukaryota; Metazoa; Chordata; Aves; Passeriformes; Passeridae
Exons: 2
Source: RefSeq, a predicted model, not a curated record
GCAGGGUCACCCCAGGGUCACCUGCCUCCUACGUGCAGCACAUCAGCUUGGCUGCAGGACAGCUACAGCUGAAGCUGCUUUCUCUAGCUGGGAGCUGAAGAAAUGCAAGCAGGGGAUAUUAAACUGAUGAAAUGACACAAUGUGAAGGGGAAAUGCUCUAUAGGGAAAACACUCUCCUGGCUGGGCCUUUUCUAGGUAGCUGAGGAGACACAGCCUUUGUGAGCUGAGUGCAUGGAACACCCAUGACGUGGGACAAAAGCAGCCCAUGGACAUUGUGGAACUCCUGGAAAUCUACAUCUCAAAGGUCCCCCUGAAAUGAGCUCUGCUGCACACACAGCUGUGUGAGUCUGUGGAGUGGGACUUGGACCUUGUUGUGUGAUAGAAAUGGGAUAAACAUAGGCCUUUUGGGUGAUUUGGCUCAUUUGCCAGAUAAGAUCUUUGCUCAGAACAGAAAUACCAGGCUGCACAUUCCCACAACAAACUGGACUUUAGAAACACCCUAAUUUUCAAACUGAUCCCUCCAUUGAGAUGGUUCCCAGUGCUCCAAAUUCCCAGAACUUUUAAGAAAUAAAUGUUUCCUUUUUCCCUCA